This is a long non-coding RNA of Sesamum indicum (sesame), 1818 nucleotides long. RefSeq lists it as uncharacterized. The record is from RefSeq and is a predicted model, not a curated record. NCBI's taxonomy places the organism in Eukaryota, Viridiplantae, Streptophyta, Magnoliopsida, Lamiales, Pedaliaceae.
UUCCCGAUUUCCACUCUUUGUGAUAAAUAUUUUGUGCUGCAAGAUUGUCUUGAUUCAGUAUGUAUGCUAAUAUUGGCAGUUCUUGCUGUUAGUGGUAACUGAUAAUUGGGAAAGUUUCUUAAGUAGACCUGGUCAUAGCAAGUCUAAUACGCCGUAAUUCUCAUGUGAUUAGUAAUUCUUCAUGACCUGUGCACAAAUCACCCUUGUGCGAUUGGUUUGGUUCAGGUCUGGCUGGAUUCGUUGGCUAGAAUUUUACAAUAUAAUCAAGUAUAAGAAAUAUGACUAGAUGUAGAUAAGAGCUUGUCCCAUGCUACAUAGUGGGAUUUGUCAUAUUUCCGUUUAGUGGUUCAUAGUGUAUCAUUUCAUACGGACAAUAGAAAGCACUACUCUAGGAGGGGGAUAGUGCAAGUUGACAUUUUUGUUUCUCUUGAUUUAUGCUUGAGAUGUGUGUGACUUUUGUGGGUGGAGAGGGAAAUAGGAGUGCCUGAAAGAGAAUAGUGAUGGGAAUAUGUAGAACGGAUCGAUCUUUGUUCUUUUGAAAGUGAACAAAUCCGAAUUGAUGCAAAAACUCAGCUCAUAUGCGCAUUGUCGUUGUCACGAUUAGUUCAUCUGGAAUUAACCCUGUGUAAAAGCUCGUUUCAACUGUUCUUGACUUGAUUUAUUGUAGAUUUAAGUUUGAGAAACAUGAAGUUCAACUUAAGCUACUCAUCUAUUUGACUUUGCAUUUUGUUUGAAGCAAAGUUGUUUUCGUUUCUUGUGUAUGUGUAUGGAGGAAAUAGGAAACAUGAUCAGUCACACACUUUCUGAGCAGGGAUUUUAUGUAAAUAUAGUUAUGCCUCAAGUGUUACUCAUAAUUAUGAGCAAUCCCGGUUUCCAAACUAACAGUGAAAAAUAAAUUUCUGUGUCUUUUCUAUCUUCCCGUCCACCUAGUUCCCCUUUACCAAAACACUGGAUUUGCCAACGGUGUACGGAAGGUUGAGCGGAAGAAACAAAACAAUUCUAAAGAUAUCAAUCUUGUAUAGUUUCUACAGCUAGGAUAUUGGUGGAAGAUGGAACGAAAUUCUGUUGCUUGUUAUCUUUUAACUAAUAUUUUGUCUAAAAUGUGGUAAAGAAUCUGUUUUAAUCCUAGUUUCCUCCCACCACAGCUAACAAGGUUGGGAAACUAUUUCAUCCCCAAACAAUAGGAAAAUGAGAAUAUAAAUUUCCAUCUUGUUUUUCCUUACCACCAUCUGUGCCCUUCUAAAGUUAGUCGAUUUAUCUGGUAAUUACAAGGUGAUGCAGGUACAGAAGUUUGAUCAUACCAUGUAUGAGGAAAUUCAAGCUGUUUCUUGUAAUUGCAAAUGAUUUUGUUGCCUAGCUUGUCAAGAUGGUAAAUUUACAUCUGCUAUCUCACAUGCGGACUAGAUGGCAAACAUACACAUUCAAAUCCUCAAGAAACUUAGGGACUUGAAGCUAACGGGCGUUUCUAAAGUGAAGUUCUGGUCAAUUAAAAUCAUGGACUGCCAUUAUCUCGGUGAGGCAAGAUGUACCAUUGCGGAGAUGAGAAAUACAGGGCCAAAUCCCUGUUUGAAUUCCGUUCUACUAAAACAACAUUAAUCGUUUCGUUUGCGUGUUUACUAUGAUAGGAUGUCUGUGAAAUAAUUGGUCGUUAAUUCCGAUCGUAUACCCUGGUUAUGUAAUUUCGGGAUCUCAAAGCCCUUACUGCAUAGUCAAUUUCAUAUAAUUCACAACUUUCAGGUGAUAUAUAUUAGUUCAGAAGGAUGAAACUAUGCGAGGUGAUAUCAGUAUUUCACUUUAUGACAUCAUUUUACGUAUAUA